This 65-nucleotide transfer RNA is filed under the name Tricula hortensis. RNAcentral describes it as "tRNA-Ser". The record is from RNAcentral. Lineage: Eukaryota; Metazoa; Mollusca; Gastropoda; Littorinimorpha; Pomatiopsidae.
GGCUAUUCUCAUGGAGCAAUUUGUCUUGAAAACAAAUUAAGAGUACUCAAUCUACUCAGUAGCCU